GAAGACAGAAGACAGAAGACAAAAGACAAAAGCCACAACAAGCAACAAAGGCUUCUCCAUCAAUUUGGUGGGGGUGGAAUGGAGGAGGAAACUAAAAAUGGUUAUCCUUCUCCAUCGUCGUCGCCUCCAACGCCUCCCUCCCCCCUCCCCAUAAGCGUAGGACCAGGCAACCAAAAGUACGUCUUCUCUUCUUCUCCAUCCCCUUCCCCGCCCUUCUCAAACCAUACGUCCGCCGAGAAUCUCCCUCUUUUGCAUCACAAGUUGUCUGGUACUGCUGUGCCCUUUGCCAUUUCCUUGGAUCCUCCUCCUCCAGAGCCCCAUCAUCAUCAUUUGGAUUCUAACUCCUCUUGCCUCAAAGACUUGCUAGAAUGGUUUAUACAAAAAUGCUGCAAUUGCUGCUCAAGGCCUCUCUGAAUUUUGAUAUGCUGGAAGAUGCAAAGCUCGUCCCAAAGAUGUAUAGAGCACUGACUUCGCCUCAUUGCUGACAUCUCUGCUAACUCAUUACAAAGUCGUUUCUUUUCCUUUUGUUUUAGGACAAACCUCAAAUCAUUUUGUCUUUUGUCUUUUUGUUUUUUUCCUCACCAUUUCAGAGGAUCUCUGCUACCAAAUGUCAAUGGGUGAAGUAAUGUAACCAUUCUUCAAACUUGCAAAUGUUUUAAGAAUUAUGACAAUUCUUUUAUCCCUUUCUUCUCA
Molecule: non-coding RNA, 693 nt
Organism: Corylus avellana
Lineage: Eukaryota; Viridiplantae; Streptophyta; Magnoliopsida; Fagales; Betulaceae
Source: RefSeq, a predicted model, not a curated record